GGAAGUAUGCCCGAACGCCACAAGGGAUACUUUGAUAGAGUAUACUACAGGGGUUAAACUCCCCUUACUUCC
RNAcentral lists this transfer RNA (72 nucleotides) under Brachymeles sp. A CDS-2011. RNAcentral describes it as "tRNA-Xle". Lineage: Eukaryota; Metazoa; Chordata; Lepidosauria; Squamata; Scincidae. The record is from RNAcentral.